This 428-nucleotide ribosomal RNA is filed under the name uncultured archaeon. RNAcentral's name for it is "bacterial SSU rRNA". It matches the Rfam family "Archaeal small subunit ribosomal RNA", at positions 474 to 903 of the family's 1478-position model. The record is from RNAcentral.
UACCAGCUCUUCGAGUGGUGUGGAUGUUUAUUGGGCCUAAAGCAUCCGUAGCCGGCUUGGCGAGUCUCCUGUUAAAUUCAGCGACCUAAUCGUUGACCCGCGGGAGAUACUACUAGGCUAGGAGGCGGGAGAGGCCGACGGUACUUCCGGGGUAGGGGUGAAAUCCUAUAAUCCCGGGAGGACCACCAGUGGCGAAGGCUGUCGGCUAGAACGCGCUCGACGGUGAGGGACGAAAGCUGGGGUAGCGAACCGGAUUAGAUACCCGGGUAGUCCCAGCUGUAAACUAUGCGGGCUAGGUGUCGGGGUGGCUACGAGCCACUUCAGUGCCGCAGGUAAGCCAUUAAGCCCGCCGCCUGGGGAGUACGGCCGCAAGGCUGAAACUUAAGGAAUUGGCGGGGGAGCACCACAAGGCGUGAAGCUUGCGGUUC